Molecule: long non-coding RNA, 754 nt
Filed under: Zea mays
Lineage: Eukaryota; Viridiplantae; Streptophyta; Magnoliopsida; Poales; Poaceae
Description: long non-coding RNA (ZMAY_LNC003086)
Source: RNAcentral
AGCAUGUCUUGGUGGGCCGUCAAAAGGUGCUUGAAGCACACUAAAUUCUCCAAUAGUUUGUUUUCCUGUGAAGAUAAACUCUAUUUCAUCAUAGAAUGGAAUUGGAACGUUGUAGUGCUUGGCUCUCUUGUGGGCAUUCUAUAUUUGACAUAGAAUAGCAUGUCUUAUUAGUUACCCAGUGUGUAAUAAAAGGCAUGUGCCUAACAAAACAUUUUACACAUACAUACUUAGAUUCCGUCUUCACAAUCUCUAUUUCAUCAUGGAUUAUCUUCUUCUGGACACCAUCACAACUCUUGUUCCACUGCAUUGUUGCCCUUUCAUGACUUGUCUUGUUGAAUGUUUGAAGGUGGGUUCGACCUUCGCUUAUGGUCAUGGAAGAGGCGACGAUGCCAAAACUCUUGCAGAGCUCGGAUUCCAGGUACAUAUGAUAUGAAUGUGAUGUAUUGCGCUACUUCAGAUCUACACUUUUGGCCAGUGCACAAAAUAUUUAUCAAUGCUGCUUCGUUCUGCAGAUCGGUGAUUACUUGAGCGUCGCAAUCAUGUAGACGGUGCCCGCACCAGAUGUAAUUGCUGUGAUGUCAAAAGGGCUCUGGUUGCAACAGUAAGGCAUGAUUCUCUGUUAGCACUAGGAACUGCAACCAGAAUUGUCUGUAAUAUUUAUCAAUGCUACUUCAGAAUUGUCUGUUAGCACUAGGAACUGCAACCAGAACUGUCUGUUAGCACUAGGAAUUCUCUUUAUGAACAGUAAAAGAAC